This 440-nucleotide ribosomal RNA is filed under the name uncultured bacterium. Its description in RNAcentral is "bacterial SSU rRNA". It matches the Rfam family "Bacterial small subunit ribosomal RNA", at positions 30 to 464 of the family's 1533-position model. The record is from RNAcentral.
AUUGAACGCUGGCGGCAUGCUUUACACAUGCAAGUCGAACGGCAGCACGGGAGCAAUCCUGGUGGCGAGUGGCGAACGGGUGAGUAAUAUAUCGGAACGUGCCCAGUAGUGGGGGAUAACUGCUCGAAAGAGCAGCUAAUACCGCAUACGACCUGAGGGUGAAAGGGGGGAGUCGCAAGACCUCUCGCUAUUGGAGCGGCCGAUAUCAGAUUAGCUAGUUGGUGGGGUAAAGGCCUACCAAGGCAACGAUCUGUAGUUGGUCUGAGAGGACGACCAGCCACACUGGGACUGAGACACGGCCCAGACUCCUACGGGAGGCAGCAGUGGGGAAUUUUGGACAAUGGGCGCAAGCCUGAUCCAGCAAUGCCGCGUGCAGGAAGAAGGCCUUCGGUUGUAAACUGCUUUUGUUCAGGGAAGAAAUACUCUAGGUUAAUACCCUU